Molecule: transfer RNA, 73 nt
Filed under: Canis lupus familiaris (dog)
Lineage: Eukaryota; Metazoa; Chordata; Mammalia; Carnivora; Canidae
Also listed under: 2 other names
Rfam family: tRNA
About the family: Transfer RNA (tRNA) molecules are approximately 80 nucleotides in length. Their secondary structure includes four short double-helical elements and three loops (D, anti-codon, and T loops).
Source: Rfam by way of RNAcentral
ACCUGACUGGUUCAGCUGGAAGAACACGUGACUGUUGAUCUCAGGAUCAUGAGUUCAAGCCCCAUGUUGGGGG